This 2048-nucleotide ribosomal RNA is filed under the name Listeria monocytogenes. RNAcentral's name for it is "partial 23S ribosomal RNA". It matches the Rfam family "Bacterial large subunit ribosomal RNA", at positions 1 to 2039 of the family's 2925-position model. Lineage: Bacteria; Bacillati; Bacillota; Bacilli; Caryophanales; Listeriaceae. The record is from RNAcentral.
UUGGUUAAGUUAGAAAGGGCGCACGGUGGAUGCCUUGGCACUAGGAGCCGAAGAAGGACGGGACUAACACCGAUAUGCUUUGGGGAGCUGUACGUAAGCGUUGAUCCAGAGAUUUCCGAAUGGGGGAACCCACUAUCUUUAGUCGGAUAGUAUCCUUACGUGAAUACAUAGCGUGAGGAAGGCAGACCCAGGGAACUGAAACAUCUAAGUACCUGGAGGAAGAGAAAGAAAAAUCGAUUUCCUGAGUAGCGGCGAGCGAAACGGAAAGAGCCCAAACCAAGAAGCUUGCUUCUUGGGGUUGUAGGACACUCUAUACGGAGUUACAAAAGAAAGUUAUAAAUGAAGCGGUCUGGAAAGGCCCGCCAAAGACGGUAACAGCCCGGUAGUUGAAAUGGCUUUCCCUCCAGAGUGGAUCCUGAGUACGGCGGAACACGUGAAAUUCCGUCGGAAUCCGGGAGGACCAUCUCCCAAGGCUAAAUACUCCCUAGUGACCGAUAGUGAACCAGUACCGUGAGGGAAAGGUGAAAAGCACCCCGGAAGGGGAGUGAAACAGUUCCUGAAACCGUGUGCCUACAAGUAGUUAGAGCCCGUUAAUGGGUGAUAGCGUGCCUUUUGUAGAAUGAACCGGCGAGUUACGAUUUGUUGCAAGGUUAAGCGGAAAAAGCGGAGCCGUAGCGAAAGCGAGUCUGAAUAGGGCGCAUAAGUAACAGGUCGUAGACCCGAAACCAGGUGAUCUACCCAUGUCCAGGAUGAAGGUAAGGUAAUACUUACUGGAGGUCCGAACCCACGCACGUUGAAAAGUGCGGGGAUGAGGUGUGGGUAGCGGAGAAAUUCCAAUCGAACUUGGAGAUAGCUGGUUCUCUCCGAAAUAGCUUUAGGGCUAGCCUCGAGGUAAAGAGUCAUGGAGGUAGAGCACUGUUUGGACUAGGGGCCCUUCUCGGGUUACCGAAUUCAGAUAAACUCCGAAUGCCAUGUACUUAUACUCGGGAGUCAGACUGCGAGUGAUAAGAUCCGUAGUCGAAAGGGAAACAGCCCAGACCACCAGUUAAGGUCCCCAAAUAUAUGUUAAGUGGAAAAGGAUGUGGGGUUGCUUAGACAACCAGGAUGUUGGCUUAGAAGCAGCCACCAUUGAAAGAGUGCGUAAUAGCUCACUGGUCGAGUGACCCCGCGCCGAAAAUGUACCGGGGCUAAACAUAUUACCGAAACUGUGGAUGAACCUCUUUAGAGGUUCGUGGUAGGAGAGCGUUCUAAGGGCGGUGAAGUCAGACCGGAAGGACUGGUGGAGCGCUUAGAAGUGAGAAUGCCGGUAUGAGUAGCGAAAGAAGGGUGAGAAUCCCUUCCACCGAAUAUCUAAGGUUUCCUGAGGAAGGCUCGUCCGCUCAGGGUUAGUCGGGACCUAAGCCGAGGCCGAUAGGCGUAGGCGAUGGACAACAGGUAGAGAUUCCUGUACCAGUGCUAAUUGUUUAACCGAUGGGGUGACACAGAAGGAUAGGGAAUCGCACGAAUGGAAAUGUGCGUCCAAGCAGUGAGUGUGAGAAGUAGGCAAAUCCGCUUCUCGCGAAGCAUGAGCUGUGAUGGGGAAGGAAAUUAAGUACGGAAGUUCCUGAUUUCACGCUGUCAAGAAAAGCCUCUAGGAAGAGUAGUACUGCCCGUACCGCAAACCGACACAGGUAGAUGAGGAGAGAAUCCUAAGGUGAGCGAGAGAACUCUCGUUAAGGAACUCGGCAAAAUGACCCCGUAACUUCGGGAGAAGGGGUGCUCUAUUAGGGUGCAAGCCCGAGAGAGCCGCAGUGAAUAGGCCCAGGCGACUGUUUAGCAAAAACACAGGUCUCUGCAAAACCGUAAGGUGACGUAUAGGGGCUGACGCCUGCCCGGUGCUGGAAGGUUAAGAGGAGUGCUUAGCUUCGGCGAAGGUACGAAUUGAAGCCCCAGUAAACGGCGGCCGUAACUAUAACGGUCCUAAGGUAGCGAAAUUCCUUGUCGGGUAAGUUCCGACCCGCACGAAAGGCGCAACGAUCUGGGCACUGUCUCAACGAGAGACUCGGUGA